RNAcentral lists this unclassified non-coding RNA (229 nucleotides) under plant metagenome. Its description in RNAcentral is "partial contains small subunit ribosomal RNA, internal transcribed spacer 1, and 5.8S ribosomal RNA". The record is from RNAcentral.
UCUCCGUAGGUGAACCUGCGGAGGGAUCAUUACAGAGUUUUUGCCCGCAAGGGUAGAUCUCCCACCCUAUGUUAUUCCUUCUCUGUUGCUUUGGCGGGCCGUCCGGCCUCGGUCAGGCCACCGGUUCCGGCUGGUGAGCGCCCGCCAGAGGACCCCAAACCCUAAAUGUCAGUGUCGUCUGAGUACUAUAUAAUAGUUAAAACUUUCAACAACGGAUCUCUUGGUUCUG